UUUCCGUAGGUGAACCUGCGGAAGGAUCAUUAACAAGCGCAACAGUGUUGCUGCACCAUGUGAAGCGGGCGCGAGCCUCUCUACGUUGUAUGUAAUGCAAAAUAUUAUAAUUUUUAACAAUGGAUCUCUAGGCUCUUGCAUCGAUGAGGAACGCAGC
RNAcentral lists this unclassified non-coding RNA (157 nucleotides) under plant metagenome. RNAcentral's name for it is "partial contains small subunit ribosomal RNA, internal transcribed spacer 1, and 5.8S ribosomal RNA". The stretch from base 109 to 157 matches the Rfam family "5.8S ribosomal RNA", at positions 1 to 49 of the family's 154-position model. The record is from RNAcentral.